AUAUCUCGUGUCUUCUGUUCUUCCAACCAUAGCUCUCUUCCCUCGUUCUAUCAAUAUUUAUUACUCAAAACAAUCAAUAGAAAUUAGGGGAAUAAUUUUAGGAUUUUGAAUUCAAAUUCAAGUUCAACCAACUCUCUGUUCCAGGUGAAUUUGUCUUCCUACAGAGAGUACGAGAGGAGCUUGCAGCAGUAAGCCGGGAGCUUACAGCAGGCUACCAAAGCUUCCAGUGUUAGUAUUUCGCUACCAAAGCUUCCAGUGUUAGUAUUUCGUUAUUUUGAUGUGUAUAUCACGGGGAUAAUAUGGGGUAGUUUACUUUCGGUUUCGACUCAUGUAUUACCAUAUUUUGCUUUGUAAAUAUACAAGCUAAGAUAUGAUUUUGGGUGUUUGUAUUAACUUUACACAGAAACUUCCUUUAUCGUUAGUGUGUCGGCAUGUUUUAAUGAUGUACUGCUAUCUACUUAGAACUCGCCUACUUUAAUACACUAGCAGGUCUUAGUUUGCACAUGGCUAUCUCUUUAAUUCACUUCUGUGUUUCUAGAGAAUGUAUGAAUAGAAGUGGUAAUGGGAAAUGUUGUACUGAAUGUCAUUUUAAGUGACUAGUGUGCUUGGGCUAAA
Long non-coding RNA from Papaver somniferum (opium poppy), 615 nucleotides. RefSeq lists it as uncharacterized. The transcript has 2 exons. The record is from RefSeq and is a predicted model, not a curated record. NCBI's taxonomy places the organism in Eukaryota, Viridiplantae, Streptophyta, Magnoliopsida, Ranunculales, Papaveraceae.